Molecule: ribosomal RNA, 791 nt
Filed under: uncultured archaeon
Lineage: Archaea
Description: bacterial SSU rRNA
Rfam family: Archaeal small subunit ribosomal RNA
Source: RNAcentral
GCUCAGUAACACGUGGAUAAUCUACCCUUAGGACCGGGAUAACCCCGGGAAACUGGGGCUAAUACUGGAUAGGCAAUUAUUCCUGCAAUGGUUUUUUGUUUAAAUGUUUUUUCGCCUAAGGAUGAGUCUGCGGCCGAUUAGGUAGUUGGUUAGGUAAUGGCUUACCAAGCCGUUGAUCGGUACGGGUUGUGAGAGCAAGAGCCCGGAGAUGGAACCUGAGACAAGGUUCCAGGCCCUACGGGGUGCAGCAGGCGCGAAACCUCCGCAAUGUGAGAAAUCGCGACGGGGGGAUCCCAAGUGCCAUUCUUAACGGGAUGGCUUUUCAUUAGUGUAAAGAGCUUUUGGAAUAAGAGCUGGGCAAGACCGGUGCCAGCCGCCGCGGUAACACCGGCAGCUCUAGUGGUAACAAUUUUUAUUGGGCCUAAAGCGUCCGUAGCCGGUUUAAUAAGUCUCUGGUGAAAUCCUGUAGCUUAACUGUGGGAAUUGCUGGAGAUACUAUUAGACUUGAGACCGGGAGAGGUUAGAGGUACUCCCAGGGUAGAGGUGAAAUUCUGUAAUCCUGGGAGGACCGCCUGUUGCGAAGGCGUCUAGCUGGAACGGAUCCGACGGUGAGGGACGAAGCCCUGGGUCGCAAACGGGAUUAGAUACCCCGGUAGUCCAGGGUGUAAACGCUGCAGACUUGGUGUUGGGGACCCUUCGGGGGUGUUCAGUGCCGGAGAGAAGUUGUUAAGUCUGCUACUUGGGGAGUACGUCCGCAAGGAUGAAACUUAAAGGAAUUGGCGGGGGAGCAC